Molecule: ribosomal RNA, 433 nt
Filed under: uncultured bacterium
Lineage: Bacteria
Description: partial 16S ribosomal RNA
Rfam family: Bacterial small subunit ribosomal RNA
Source: RNAcentral
AACGAACGCUGGCGGCAUGCCUAACACAUGCAAGUCGAACGAGACCUUCGGGUCUAGUGGCGCACGGGUGCGUAACGCGUGGGAACCUGCCCUUAGGUUCGGAAUAACUCCCCGAAAGGGGUGCUAAUACCGGAUAAUGUCUUCGGACCAAAGAUUUAUCGCCCUUGGAUGGGCCCGCGUUGGAUUAGCUAGUUGGUAGGGUAAAAGCCUACCAAGGCGACGAUCCAUAGCUGGUCUGAGAGGAUGAUCAGCCACACUGGGACUGAGACACGGCCCAGACUCCUACGGGAGGCAGCAGUGGGGAAUAUUGGACAAUGGGCGAAAGCCUGAUCCAGCAAUGCCGCGUGAGUGAUGAAGGCCUUAGGGUUGUAAAGCUCUUUUACCCGGGAUGAUAAUGACAGUACCGGGAGAAUAAGCUCCGGCCAACUCCGUG